This 265-nucleotide long non-coding RNA is filed under the name Homo sapiens (human). Its description in RNAcentral is "non-protein coding lnc-HIST1H2AI-4:1". The record is from RNAcentral. Lineage: Eukaryota; Metazoa; Chordata; Mammalia; Primates; Hominidae.
GGGUAAAGGGGGCGCCACCGCAAGUUGCUGUGCAACAUCCAGACAUCACCAGACCCACCACCUGGAGCCUGGCCUGGCGGUGUCAAACGCAUUCUGGUCUCAUCUUUUUAGAAACCCGUGGAUGCUCAAGGAAUUUCCGGAUAACGUGAUCCCGGAUGCGCUUGACUGACUUACACGGAACGAGCAAAGCGCAAAGCAGUCCCUGCUAAGGACUUAGUUUAUGCCCUCAAGCGCAAAGGUCGGACCCUCUAUGGUGUUGGUAGCU